This 3288-nucleotide long non-coding RNA is filed under the name Homo sapiens (human). RNAcentral's name for it is "HSALNT0100260". Lineage: Eukaryota; Metazoa; Chordata; Mammalia; Primates; Hominidae. The record is from RNAcentral.
UGCCUCUCUCCCUCCUACAUGGGGCAGCAAGUCCCCGGCAGCCUGGAUGCUAUUCAAGCUCCACAAGCCCACAAAUAAGCAUUUUCAUCACACAGAUGUUAGGCAUGGCCCAUUAAAAGAAGUGAGACGAUGCCAUUGCAAUUUAACCCAGGGAAGAAAAAGAACGCGUAAAAAGCCGUAUGGUUUCAUAGAAUAACAAAGAACAUCUGUGUCCAGACUCAUGGGCUGGGUACAUCUCUAAGAACAAAGCCCUCUGCCAGCCUUUCUGGAACAGGAUUGCUGCUUUGAGUCAGAAUGAAGCCAUACGAAUCCCUUUUCCACUGCUGAGACAGAACUCUCUUUUCUGACUAACUCCCUCGUUUGGACAGAGAUCUCUGUAAGGGUCAACUCGUUGGCUCUGGAGUGUCAGGAGGUGAAGCCACUAGGACUCUGUGAAGCUGGACUUUUCAGGACUAGCCCAGAGCCCUGGGCAGAAGUGCAACUGGCCGAGGGUUCCACAGAGACUCAAGAACAAACUUGAGAACAGGUGUGGGGCCAAGACAGUCGCUGGGCACCAUUUGAAACAAGAGGCUACCUGGAAAACAUGCCUUCAGCGGUUUGGCGAGGAGAAACCUGUUUGAAAGGGAUGGAGUCUUGCCUUUGCCAUCACCUGCUCUGGUUCUGUACGGUUUGGUGCUCACUGAGCUCUGUUCUCUUUACAUCUCAUGCUCACAUCUCUUCCUGCUGGUCCAGGAAGCUACUUGCCUCUACAGAGGGUGUCUUCCUGUCUCUCUUUGCUUUGUAAAGUCUCAGAGAGGAGCUAUAAUGAGUCUUGGCAUGGAGAACACAGUGUUUUCUGAACUGUGGCUUGGGAUGCAUUAGUGGGUUGAGAAAUCAGUUUUGUGGGCUGAAGCCAGCAUUUAAAAUGCAAAGGAAGACGAAGAAACAGAAUGGAAUAGGAAUGAAUGAACUGAAUUGAAAAUAUUGGUCUAUUGCAUAUGGAUGUAGAUGUGAUGGUUAAAGAUGCAGCUGCCAUCUUGGAUUAUGAAGUAACCAUGGAUAUGGAAGACACAUAUGAUGAAACAAGGUAGAAGCAGCCUGGGUCCUUGAUGUUACGGCCAACUUACCUCUAGACUUCUUUGAAGCAGAGAAAUAGGCUUGCUUAAGCUACAGGUGACCAAACUGAGGCAUGGGGGUUUAAUAAGCUUACCCAAAACUACACAGCAAGGAGGAGGCUGUGUCGGGAAUCAAACUCAGUCACUGUGGCCCCCAAGUCCAUGCUCAUAACCACCAGGAGAUCUGGUAACACUCGCCGAAACCAGUGCUUCCUGGGACCUAGUUUGGAAAAGCUGGUUGUGAAAUACAUACUGCGGUUCAGCCUCCUCCCGCCUAAGAGCAACAAUGCCUGUGAGCAUAACCUUACCAAGAAGCGUGAAUCAUAUGAUAAUUACAUAUGGCACCCACAUAUCCAGAGGAGAACAGCACGGUGUGAGCCCUCAUCAAAUUGUCCAAGCCAGAAACCUAGGCCUUUUCCUGGAAUGACGUUCCUCCACAGGUAAUCAAUUACAGAAGAGCCUUUCACACUUUCCUUUUUCUCCCAUUCCCCACCACUUGCCUUAAUCUAGGAAAUUAGCAUUUUUUUUAAUCUAAAGCCUUCUCAUUGUUGCCCCAUCACCAGAAUACAAGAAUAUCUUAUUUUAUUGAGCUCUGGGAUACUGUGUGUUUUGUUUUUGUUUUUACAAAUUGAAGAUUUGUGGCAACACAGCGUCAAGCGCCUACUGGCUCCAUUUUUCCAGCAGCAUGUGCUCACUUCGUGUUCCUGUGUCACAUUUUGGUCUCUAAUAGGUGGACCCCUGCAGCAUUCACCCAGCUUUUUCACUGCGCCUGAAUAGAAGAUGCCCUUUCAGGCCAGGCGCAGUGGCUCACACCUGUAAUCCCAGCACUUUGGGAGGCCGAGGCGGGUGGAUCACGAGGUCAAGAGAUCGAGACCAUCCUGGCCAACAUGGUGAAACCCCGUCUCUAAUAAAAAUAAAAAUAAAAAAAAUUAGCUGGGUGUGGUGGUGCAUGCCUUGUAGUCCCAGCUGCUCGGGAGGCUGAGGCAGAAGAAUUGCUUCAACCCAGGAGAUGGAGGUUGCAGUGAGCCAAGAUCGCACCACUGCACUCCAGCCUGGUGACCCAGAAAGACUUCAUCUAAAAAAAAAGUUGCCCUUUCAUAACUGUUACCUCUGGACGUACUCUUUCUAGAAAGUCCUGCCCUUCGCUGUGCUAUCCCUGAAGAUCAGCACAAAUGUCAUCUCCAAGAGGAAGCCUGGAGCACCCACCAUCACCAUCACCACCCACAGAUGGACAAAAUUACCAAUAGUCUCCUCUCUCAGGUUUCCCAUAUAAUUACCUUUAUUACACUUAACAUAAAUAAGAUAGCCUCUCCACCUCUUUUUUUCAGUUAAAUGAUCCAACCAACUAAACUUUAAUUCAAUCGACUAUCGUUUGGCCACAAAUACUAUAUUCACUCUUUCUCUAAUCGAAUCAGAACUUGAAUGUCAAUAUCAUCCCUAAACCUUAUCAUCCACCCUCCCAUUAUCCAGCAUCCACCUCCUGAACUCAGUCACGGCCUCCAAAUACUAUAGCCAGCUCCCAGAAUUAAAAGGUUGAGCCUCAAAUUCUCAGAAAAGUUUAACAAGAAAAACAACUAGAAAGAAGGAGAUUUAUCCUAAAAGUCUGAUAUACUGUUCUGUAGAAUUUUCCCCUAAGUUCCAAGAUGAUAACUUCCUCUUUCAGCCUUAAUUCUCAGCGAAAAUACCCACAAAACUAAAAGCUACUGCUUUAAGCUCUUAAAUUUUAUCAGCAAAAUGAGGCUGAGGACCCGAGCCCACGCAAAUGGUGAAACUUUAAGAAAGAAGAAUAAAUAGAACAAAAAAGAAUGAUUGUUCUAGUUAUUCUUCCCUGAUUGAGACAUUAUGGUUUGUUUUUCCAAUAGGUUUUGUCAUAAAGGAGGAAAUAGGCAUAUUACAGAAAAGUUUGAAAAGAAAUGUAAAUAAAUAAAAAGUUCACUCAACAUGAACACAUAAGUAACAUAACUAUUAAUGUUUGCAAGUUCCCUUCCAAUAUUUUAUGUGCACAUAGAUCUGUAUAUAUUUAGCAAUUUUAAUCAAACUUUGCAUCCCAUUUGAUGACUUUUUUUCCAUUUAAGUUUUUUUUUCUGUUUUUGUUUUUGAGACGGAGUCUGGCUCUGUCUUCCAGGCUGGAGUAGUGCAAUGGUGCGAUCUCGGCCCACUGCAACCUCCGCCGGCUGGGUUCAAGUGAUUCUCC